CGGGUGUAGUUUAGUGGUAAAACUCCAGCCUUCCAAGCUGAUGUUGUGGGUUCGAUUCCCAUCGCCC
RNAcentral lists this transfer RNA (67 nucleotides) under uncultured Succiniclasticum sp. It matches the Rfam family "tRNA". From Rfam's summary of the family: Transfer RNA (tRNA) molecules are approximately 80 nucleotides in length. Their secondary structure includes four short double-helical elements and three loops (D, anti-codon, and T loops). The record is from RNAcentral. Lineage: Bacteria; Bacillati; Bacillota; Negativicutes; Acidaminococcales; Acidaminococcaceae.